This is a long non-coding RNA of Cygnus olor (mute swan), 4206 nucleotides long. RefSeq lists it as uncharacterized. NCBI's taxonomy places the organism in Eukaryota, Metazoa, Chordata, Aves, Anseriformes, Anatidae. The transcript has 4 exons. The record is from RefSeq and is a predicted model, not a curated record.
CAUCCCUGGCACAAAGCAAUCUUGGUGUCUCUGCUCGAUGACUCAUAAAGAGUGCAAUCACAUCUAUUUUGAAGAGCAAUGUUGUUUUUUAACUGUGUCGAGAGCUUCCAGCUUCCUCGGAGUUUUUCCUGCCUUUCGCUUCCACCCCGCUUUCCCUGCGGCCGCAGCUCUCGGCGUGCGGGUGGCGGGAGGCCGACGGCGCUGCUGCAGCUCCACUGAGCCGUGGCUCAGAGGGGAGCAGAGCCCGGAGCCGCCGUCCUCAACCAUCGUGCCGGCACCCACGGUGCUGGGGUAGGGCACAGGCAUCUGCCCGGUGCCAUGUGCGGGGCUUGAUGCCCUCAGAGACCCCACGGAGCUCACCAGCAGCUGGGGCAGGGACAGCAGGGACCCAGUGGAUGCCCAGAGCUGUGGCAGGCACUUGGAGGGGAGCCCUGGGGUCAGGUCUUGGGGGUCUGGGCACAGCCCCCCUCACGUCCCACCACCCUCCUGUGAACCCCCCAACGGGGUGCUCGCUGCUGCUGCACCCAAACUGUUUGGUGGCCAAAGCAGCUUGCUGAAAUCAGUGCUGUUACACCCAAAUAUUUUCUGGCUGCGGUCUCUGCUCCUCCUGGGUUAUUUGGCGCAGCUGGAGCUCCUUCUCCACCCUCCAACAGCAUCAGCUGCAGCUUCUUAUCAGCGCUGGGCACAAUCCAGCCUCUAGCUAACUGAAGGGUUGCUGCUGGCACUGGUGGAGGAAGCCUUUGCCUUUUUAUUUCCACCUUGCGUUGCUGUGUGCAGGAGAUGCUGGUGUGGUUGGGGCAGCAGCAGAGCAGAUGCUCAGCAGGACCAGCCCGGAGCCACUCCUGUGAGCCCGCUGGAUGUGGUGACACAUCUGUGGGGAAGAGGGAAAAUCCAGCUCCAGACCUGAGACAGAGCUGAGAAGUGUAAUUUCCCUGCAAAGCUGAGAGGAAACCUCCAUCCAUUCCUGAAACUCAGAGUGGUCUCCCUGCAAUGGAAGAGGCUGAAUCAUGUAUCUGGAACCUAUAGAGCUUGUAUUUCACUUGACCUUAUUCCAGCUCAUCAUGACAAGGCAUCUCCACUGAGACCACAUGUAACACCCUGUCUGACAAGGAGGUGACAGCAGAAAUGGCUCUGUGAGGGCGUACAGCUGCAGGUGACGUGGCACAGAUCUCCAGCUCUCCCCUGACACGGCGCCACUCACUCUGUGCUGCCACAAGAAAACUUUCAACUUUCCAUCCCAAACUGAAAACCAAAGAUGAUGAGGGAGCCUGAACACAACGUGGGAUUGGCUGAUGUGUCACCUUAGCUGCAGUAAUGUUCCAGCACCUACAGCUGAUCACUGUCAGCAUCAACUGUUAGUGCUUAACAAUAAUAUUGUAAUUAUUUUCAUGGCUAUUGCGGUUUCCACAUCACCUUGAGAAUAAACGUAGUGCUCUCACUGAGACUUGCUAGGCAGAGAGCUCCCGUCUGCUCGUGGAAGAUAUUGCAAAAUAAACAUUUCACGUGAAUAUUUAGAAAUUGGCUGCAACAGCCUGGGUCACCAAAACACUGAGGCCAAGACUCUUCCUGCAAAGAAGUCAGGAAACGUGGGGCGAGGGCUCCCGCAGCAGCGCCAGCUCUGCCCCCUCGCGGGUAUUGCUUACGGGGAGGUUGUCAGCGUGCAUCGGCCUGCGCCUCUCAGAGCUUGCUGCAGCCCUGCGCGUCGCGCUGGCUUUGGCACCGUCCUGCAGCAGAUGUUUGCUGGGGCUCCGACUGCUGCUGCUCAGCACCGCCGGCUGUUUUUACUUUGAGGUACAGGAGGGAAUACGCUUUCCCGAACUGAUCAGCGACUGCAGGGAUUUGGUAUCCCUGGAAAGGCUGACAGACGUUGAGCUGAGACCCAGCUGCGGCACUGUUGUGCCCCCUCACGCCCAAGGGACACCCUGGGGACAGCGGUGUGGCCCCGCUGCUGAGGGGGGCAACCAGCGUGCAGACGGCGAGGGGCUUCUGGGCAGCACAGGCUGGGGCUGGGACUCGAAGGCCUAAUUAGAAGCGAGCGGGGUUACUCGUGGUUUCCUACGCAUCCCAACGCCGAUGCCUUUAGGGCUUCUCUUGUUCAAAAUCCCAAGCCAGAGGUCCUGCGGCACAUGCAAAGCCAGCUCAUAAACAGAGGUCUGGGUGAGGUCAGGUUCUCACAGCUUUCUGAGGGGGCAGGGAGGGAAAAAAAUAAAAUAAAAUCCAUGGCUGCUAAACCGGGAGGAGGGAGCUGGAAACCUCUGCUCCCUGCUGGGCGGUGGGGUGAGCUGGUCCAUGAGGACUGCCUCAGCCGGGGGAGGCCGAGUUUGCCCUUUGCUAUUCACCUCCCUGCUCGCUUCGGCUUGUGCGUGUGCGAAUUGUGCUGAGGGUAUCACUCGCCUGCUUGGGGCUGCCGAGCGUCUAAGGAAAUGUUUUUGUUUAUGCAGGGCUGCCAGAUUUCCUAUGCUUCUUGGCACAGGGUCACAGCUUUCGUGCCUCCUUGUCUGUCUUUAUUAACACCAAUUUCUUUUUAUCACUGCGCAGUGCUGUGGAGUUUCUCAGGGGUUUUACGUUCCAACCAGACCAUAUGUAAAUUCUCAGCAAUGCUACCACCGAUGCCAGAAACGGACGCUUCUUCAGUCAGAUGCUGUUUCUGGUUAAGGAAUCCAUCAACAUGAGCCAGGCCCAUGGUUUUUAAGGACAGUUGUUUAUUCCUGUACCCAGAUCUGGGACUCUUAAGCUGUCUAGUAACUGUUGCAGCUGCUUCCUCUUUAAUCCCCCAAAAGCAUGAAGCAAACCUGGGGAAGGGGUGCCAGAAGAGGGGUGCAAGGACAAGGUUCCCAUCCAGGGGCAGCUGUAGCAUCUUGUCAGUCAGCAACCAGUGGUUUAAGCACUGCAGCACUUGGAUGCUCCUUUCCCAGCAUAUGGCAUGAGCACACCCACAGUGAAAACAAUGCAGGCCACAUCUCAUCUCCAACACAAGGCGUUUAUGCGGAGGCUGCAUCAUGGCACGGCUCCUCCGGCCCUCUCAGCUCCAGCACUCUGAGGGACCUCGCUGCACUCACUGAUGAGGGGCCUUCAGUCUUCGAAGUCAUUAUAUGUGCUGGAUACACUUUAAGAAACACUUAGGCAUCAAGUGCCUUAUGCUGACCUCCUCUGAGACUUUGCUGACUUAAUUAAUUGGGGAAAGCCUUUGCAAAAUAAAUAGAGAUAAGCUUUGGCAAGCCUCCAGACCCGGAGCGGGAUGAAUAGCUAACCUUGCGGUCGCUGCUGCUCGCAUCUGCAGGUCGAUCUGCAGGAGCCCGCUGUGUGGGACCACUAAUGCCUGAUCCUGAGGUGUGAUUCGUACUUGCUGCCUAAUUUGGAGGCAAGCCUAAGCCUCCUGCAGAAGGCUAAGGGAAACUAACCCUAAUUUAGGGGUUCUGAUCUGAAGGUGCUGUUGAUGGAGGAGCUCACUAACUACAGCAGGGCCUGUGUUAGGCCUUGUUCCUGUUAGCCCAGGCCCAGCUCAGAGGCAACAUCAGCAGCUGCUUUCCAUGAGCUUCCAGGGGGUGCCCUCAGCCUCUGUGCUCAGUAAAGCAAGCUUUACAGGAGUUCGAUGGUGCCCCCAGCACAAGUACAGACUAUUCCAACUGCACUUAUGGUUCGGCGCAUGGCCAUGUCUCCUCAAGGCGCUGCGCUGAUAUAAAACGUCAGGGCAGAUCCAGCACCACUCCCACAUGUGGAGAUCAGGUCAACCAAAGGAGGACAUGUGCACUCAACUACUGGGUGCAGAAAAAGCAGGGGAAGCAGGGACCUGGCAGGGCACAGUGUGUGCAGGUGUCCUGCCAGCACUGCAGCGCCCUAACUUACAGAUGCAGCUGACAGCAACCUAACCCCCAAAGCAAACUGACCGGUCAGUGGCGUGCUCUGGGUAUGAGCCUGAGGGCCCUCACGGCCUGAUGUGCAGCACACCACUCCUGUCUGAACCCAGUGCCGCCACACGUGGGAGGUGCUCUGCUCCAGACGGUGCUGGAGAGUCACUCGCCCCGCACAGCAUGCAGUCAGCAGCAAAAUACGGCUUCUGUUUUGUGUCAGACAAGAAGCGAUACUCAGUGCAGUCAGAGCUCUCCGACCCUGUCCGAUUUGAUUGAUUUUGUCCAAUUGUUUCUUUGCUCGGUAUCAACCUGUUUGUUCUGUCAGUGAUUACCUCCCUUUGCCAUGCCUUCAGUA